AGGGCAUCUGGUGGAUGCCUUGGCACUGAGAGGCGAUGAAGGACGUAGCACGCUGCGAUAAGCCGCGGGGAGGGGCGAGCACCCGUUGAUCCGCGGAUUUCCGAAUGGGGAAACCCGGCCCUUUAGGGGUCAUCGCCGCCUGAAUCCAUAGGGCGGCGAGGCGAACCCGGCGAACUGAAACAUCUAAGUAGCCGGAGGAAAGGACAUCAACCGAGACUCCGUUAGUAGUGGCGAGCGAACGCGGACCAGGCCAGUGGCCGUUCUGUUGCAACCGGAACCGUCUGGAAAGGCGGGCGAGACUGGGUGAUAGCCCCGUACGGGUCAACAGCGGAACGGUCCUCGAGUAGGGCGGGACACGUGAAAUCCUGUCUGAACAUGGGGGGACCACCCUCCAAGCCUAAGUACUCCUCAGUGACCGAUAGUGAACCAGUACCGUGAGGGAAAGGUGAAAAGCACCCCGAUGAGGGGAGUGAAACAGUCCCUGAAACCGGAUGCCUACAAGCAGUCGGAGCCUCCUUGCGGGGUGACGGCGUACCUUUUGUAUAAUGGGUCAGCGACUUCGUCUUGCGAGCAAGCUUAAGCCGAUAGGUGGAGGCGCAGCGAAAGCGAGUCUGAAUAGGGCGCAUGAGUUCGUAGGAUGAGACCCGAAACCGAGUGAUCUAGCCAUGGGCAGGUUGAAGGUGCGGUAACACGCACUGGAGGACCGAACCCACGUCUGUUGAAAAAGACGGGGAUGACCUGUGGUUAGGGGUGAAAGGCCAAUCAAACUCGGAAAUAGCUGGUUCUCCGCGAAAUCUAUUUAGGUAGAGCGUCGAUCGCUCACCGCCGGGGGUAGAGCACUGGAUGGGCUAGGGGGGCGCGAGCCUUACCAAACCUAACCAAACUCCGAAUACCGGCGAGUGGAGGUCGGCAGACAGACCAUGGGUGCUAAGGUCCGUGGUCGAGAGGGAAACAGCCCAGACCGCCAGCUAAGGUCCCCCAGUCAUGGCUAAGUGGGAAAGGAUGUGGGAAGACCAAGACAACCAGGAGGUUGGCUUAGAAGCAGCCAUCCUUUAAAGAAAGCGUAAUAGCUCACUGGUCUAGACAAGUCGUCCCGCGCCGAAAAUGUAACGGGGCUAAAGCCAUGCACCGAAGCUGCGGAUGUGGUCCUUCGGGACCACGUGGUAGCGGAGCGUUCCGUAGGCCUGCGAAGGGGUUCGCGCGAGCGGCCCUGGAGGCAUCGGAAGCGAGAAUGCUGACAUGAGUAGCGAUAAAGCGUGUGAGAAACACGCUCGCCGAAAGUCCAAGGGUUCCUGCGCAAGGUUAAUCCGCGCAGGGUGAGCCGGCCCCUAAGGCGAGGGCGAAAGCCGUAGUCGAUGGGAACGGGGUUAAUAGUCCCCGGCCUGCUGGACGUGACGAAUGCCGUAAGUCGUCUCCGCUUACUGGAUUGCGGGGGCGGCGAAGGCGUUCCGGGAAAUAGCGCCAGCGAUAUAGACCGUACCCGAAACCGACACAGGUGGACUGGUAGAGCAUACCAAGGCGCUUGAGAGAAUGGUGUUGAAGGAACUCGGCAAAAUGCCCCCGUAACUUCGGGAGAAGGGGGCCCCGUUCCUGGGCAACCAGGGGCGGGGGGCACAGACCAGGGGGUGGCGACUGUUUACUAAAAACACAGGGCUCUGCGAAGCCGCCAAGGCGACGUAUAGGGUCUGACGCCUGCCCGGUGCCGGAAGGUUAAGAGGAGGGGUUCACGCUCUGAAUCGAAGCCCCGGUAAACGGCGGCCGUAACUAUAACGGUCCUAAGGUAGCGAAAUUCCUUGUCGGGUAAGUUCCGACCUGCACGAAUGGCGUAACGACUUCCCCGCUGUCUCCAACACCAACUCAGCGAAAUUGAAUUCUCCGUGAAGAUGCGGAGUACCCGCGGUUAGACGGAAAGACCCCGUGCACCUUUACUACAGCUUUGCAGUGGUACUAGGGAAUGGAUGUGUAGGAUAGGCGGGAGCCUAGGAAGCCGGGGCGCCAGCUCCGGUGGAGGCAGCCUUGAAAUACCGCCCUUCUGUUUCCUGGUAUCUAACCGCGGCCCCUGAACCGGGGUCCGGGACCCUGCAUGGCGGGUAGUUUGACUGGGGCGGUCGCCUCCCAAAGAGUAACGGAGGCGCGCGAUGGUGGGCUCAAGCUGGUCGGAAAUCAGCUGUCGAGUGCAAUGGCAUAAGCCCGCCUGACUGCGAGACUGACAAGUCGAGCAGAGACGAAAGUCGGUCAUAGUGAUCCGGUGGUCCCACGUGGACGGGCCAUCGCUCAACGGAUAAAAGGUACGCCGGGGAUAACAGGCUGAUGACCCCCAAGAGUCCAUAUCGACGGGGUCGUUUGGCACCUCGAUGUCGGCUCAUCACAUCCUGGGGCUGGAGCAGGUCCCAAGGGUAUGGCUGUUCGCCAUUUAAAGUGGUACGUGAGCUGGGUUUAGAACGUCGUGAGACAGUUCGGUCCCUAUCUGCCGUGGGUGUUGGAGACUUGAGAGGAUCUGUCCCUAGUACGAGAGGACCGGGAUGGACGCACCUCUGGUGUACCGGUUGUCGCGCCAGCGGCACCGCCGGGUAGCUAAGUGCGGCCGGGAUAACCGCUGAAAGCAUCUAAGCGGGAACCCCCCCUCGAGACCAGGUCUCCCUGAAGAGCCGUGGAAGACGACCACGUCGAUAGGCCGGGUGUGGACGCGCGGCAACGCGUGAAGCUAACCGGUACUAAUCGCUCGAUCGGCUUGAUC
This 2737-nucleotide ribosomal RNA is filed under the name Virgifigura deserti. RNAcentral describes it as "bacterial LSU rRNA". It matches the Rfam family "Bacterial large subunit ribosomal RNA". The record is from RNAcentral. Lineage: Bacteria; Pseudomonadati; Pseudomonadota; Alphaproteobacteria; Rhodospirillales; Rhodospirillaceae.